UACGUAGGGUGCAAGCGUUGUCCGGAAUUAUUGGGCGUAAAGAGCGUGUAGGCGGCCCGAUUAGUCCGCUGUGAAAGUCCAGGGCUCAACCCUGGAAUGCCGGUGGAUACUGUCGGGCUAGAGUCCGGAAGGGGCGAGUGGAAUUCCUGGUGUAGCGGUGAAAUGCGCAGAUAUCAGGAAGAACACCCGUGGCGAAGGCGGCUCUCUGGGACGGUACUGACGCUGAGGUGCGAAAGCGUGGGGAGCAAACAGG
This 253-nucleotide ribosomal RNA is filed under the name uncultured bacterium. RNAcentral describes it as "partial 16S ribosomal RNA". It matches the Rfam family "Bacterial small subunit ribosomal RNA", at positions 524 to 776 of the family's 1533-position model. The record is from RNAcentral.